This 497-nucleotide ribosomal RNA is filed under the name uncultured bacterium. RNAcentral's name for it is "partial 16S ribosomal RNA". It matches the Rfam family "Bacterial small subunit ribosomal RNA", at positions 28 to 507 of the family's 1533-position model. The record is from RNAcentral.
GAUGAACGCUGGCGGCGUGCCUAAUACAUGCAAGUCGAGCGAACAGACGAGGAGCUUGCUCCUCUGACGUUAGCGGCGGACGGGUGAGUAACACGUGGAUAACCUACCUAUAAGACUGGGAUAACUUCGGGAAACCGGAGCUAAUACCGGAUAAUAUAUUGAACCGCAUGGUUCAAUAGUGAAAGACGGUUUUGCUGUCACUUAUAGAUGGAUCCGCGCCGCAUUAGCUAGUUGGUAAGGUAACGGCUUACCAAGGCAACGAUGCGUAGCCGACCUGAGAGGGUGAUCGGCCACACUGGAACUGAGACACGGUCCAGACUCCUACGGGAGGCAGCAGUAGGGAAUCUUCCGCAACGGGCGAAAGCCUGACGGAGCAACGCCGCGUGAGUGAUGAAGCUCUUCGGAUCGUAAAACUCUGUUAUUAGGGAAGAACAAAUGUGUAAGUAACUAUGCACGUCUUGACGGUACCUAAUCAGAAAGCCACGGCUAACUACGUG